GACGAACGCUGGCGGCGUGCUUAACACAUGCAAGUCGAACGAAGAGCGAUGGAAGCUUGCUUCUAUCAAUCUUAGUGGCGAACGGGUGAGUAACGCGUAAUCAACCUGCCCUUCAGAGGGGGACAACAGUUGGAAACGACUGCUAAUACCGCAUACGAUCCAAUCUCGGCAUCGAGGAUGGAUGAAAGGUGGCCUCUAUUUAUAAGCUAUCACUGAAGGAGGGGAUUGCGUCUGAUUAGCUAGUUGGAGGGGUAACGGCCCACCAAGGCAAUGAUCAGUAGCCGGUCUGAGAGGAUGAACGGCCACAUUGGGACUGAGACACGGCCCAGACUCCUACGGGAGGCAGCAGUGGGGAAUCUUCCGCAAUGGACGAAAGUCUGACGGAGCAAC
Molecule: ribosomal RNA, 390 nt
Filed under: Veillonella parvula
Lineage: Bacteria; Bacillati; Bacillota; Negativicutes; Veillonellales; Veillonellaceae
Description: bacterial SSU rRNA
Rfam family: Bacterial small subunit ribosomal RNA
Source: RNAcentral